This 485-nucleotide long non-coding RNA is filed under the name Homo sapiens (human). RNAcentral describes it as "HSALNT0089637". The record is from RNAcentral. Lineage: Eukaryota; Metazoa; Chordata; Mammalia; Primates; Hominidae.
ACUCUUGGCUCAGCUUCUCAUUAGCGACUUUUGAGCAUCAACGUCUUCAUCUGCAGAAAGAAGCAGGUGGGCACACAAGAGGAAGGAGAGGCUGUCUCCCCAAUCCACCCUUGACCCCCUCUCCUCCCAGGAGGGAAAAGUGACUUGGCAGUACUCCCAGAGCCAAAGAAGGAAACCAGCCCCAGUGAGAGAAAUGUCUACUGGAAAGUAAAUGAGCCCUUCUAAUGAGCUGCUUACAUGGCUGCACCUGAUAUUCCAAGUAUUUCCUCCUGUCCUAGCCCACUCUAGGGCAGAAUCCCCAACCAUCUGUAUGUGAAAAUACAGAGAUGGUUAUUCUAUGGAAAAAACCACUAACUCCAUGAGUUCUAGAAUGCCUACAAGAUCUAUUGAAGAUUAGGCAUCAAUAACCAAUGUCAAUGCUGAGCAAAACACAAAAAAGGUUUCCUAAAACAGAGCUCGGUGUUUGCUGUUCACUUUAAUUUUAG